This 30-nucleotide unclassified non-coding RNA is filed under the name Dictyostelium discoideum. The record is from RNAcentral. Lineage: Eukaryota; Evosea; Eumycetozoa; Dictyosteliales; Dictyosteliaceae.
UGCCAGAUGUAACUCUUGAUCUGUAGGCAC